This 460-nucleotide ribosomal RNA is filed under the name uncultured bacterium. RNAcentral's name for it is "partial 16S ribosomal RNA". It matches the Rfam family "Bacterial small subunit ribosomal RNA", at positions 338 to 795 of the family's 1533-position model. The record is from RNAcentral.
CCUACGGGAGGCAGCAGUGAGGAAUAUUGGUCAAUGGACGAGAGUCUGAACCAGCCAAGUAGCGUGAAGGAUGACUGCCCUAUGGGUUGUAAACUUCUUUUAUAUGGGAAUAAAACGUUCCACGUGUGGGCUUUUGUAUGUACCCUGUGAAUAAAGCUCGGCUAACUCCGUGCCAGCCGCCGCGGUAAUUCGGAGGAUCCGAGCGUUAUCCGGAUUUAUUGGGUUUAAAGGGGGCGUAGGUGGGGUUUUAAGGACGUUGGGAAAGUUUGCGGCUCAAACGUAAAAUUGCAAUUGAUACUGGCAGUCUUGAGUACAGUUGAGGUAAGCGGAAUUCGUGGUGUAGCGGUGAAAUGCUUAGAUAUCACGAAGAACCCCGAUUGCGAAGGCAGCUUACUAAACUGUGACUGACAUUGAGGCUCGAAAGUGUGGGUAUCAAACAGGAUUAGAUACCCGUGUAGUC